Molecule: ribosomal RNA, 2013 nt
Filed under: Triticum aestivum (bread wheat)
Lineage: Eukaryota; Viridiplantae; Streptophyta; Magnoliopsida; Poales; Poaceae
Description: partial small subunit ribosomal RNA
Source: RNAcentral
AUGGCGUCCUCCUCCUCCCCGGCGGCUCCGUUGCUCCCACCUUGUCAAGAUGAGCAGGAUAAGGAGGACGCAGGUGCUCGGAGCGACGGCGGGAGUCAGCGGGAGCAGGGGGUGAUGCGGAGCUGGGCGGAGGCGGCGCUGCUGUGCUGCGGCGCGGACUGCGGCGACGCGGAGCGGCUGUGGCGCAGGGUGGUGCUGCGCAAGUGGCUCAACGUCGGCGCCGGGUCCGGCGACUCCGACUUCAGCGCCGACGAGUUCGAGGCCGAGGCCGAGACCGACGACGAGGAGCCCGGCCACCAAGAGAAGUGCUGUUGCUGGGAACACAAACUGUUUGAUGAGGAGAGGAGAUCGCGUGGACUUGGUGCGGGCACGAUUGGUAAUCAAGUGAAGGCUGUGCCUGACAGACUUAAAAGGUGCAAUUCAGAGACACUUCGCGCUCAGUAUAUCGAUGUCGCUGAACUCAGGAUUUUCGUAGGGACAUGGAAUGUUGGAGGCAGAGUUCCACCUACUGACUUAGACAUUCAAGAAUGGCUGGCGAUGGAGGAGCCAGCUGAUAUUUAUGUUCUCGGAUUUCAAGAAAUUGUCCCACUAAAUGCUGGGAAUAUAUUCGGUGCUGAAGAUGACCAUCCAGUUGUAGUAUGGGAACAUAUCAUUCGUGAAACUUUGAAUAAGAUAUGUCCAUAUAAACCAAAGCAUAAAUGUGUCAGUGAUCCUCCUUCACCAUCAAAGUUCAAUCCAUCAGAUUAUCUUGUGAUGGAAGAUGAUUUUCUUAGUGAGGCCGACAAUGGAAGUGAGGGGGAACUUCAUCCAUUGAUUGGACAAGACAUUAAUCCAGUUACUAAUGAUAGUGGCGUUUGUAAAACAUAUGAAUACUCCACCUCUGCUUCCAGUGAAAGAGUUCACGAAGGCGAAGACUUCAGCAAGAUGCUUCCAGUAAAUACUUCUCAUCACUCCCACAACUCAAGUCAUACGCUUUUUAGAUCUAAUCUGAAAGAACCGAGCAACCAAGCCGGUCACUUGGAAAGGCCUGGAAUGAUUUGGCCUGAACAACAAUUGGAUAUGCAGGUUCAUCUUCUUCAGGACAGCACAUCAGUUACUUCAGUGAAGACUCUAACAGCUUCUGCGUCUUUCAAAUCGAGACAUGAGAAUUCUAAUGGUUUUCCAGAAGAUAAUCUGGACCAUGAUGUUAGUAUCGAUAAUAGAGUCGUUGAAAGAAAAAAUUCAAAUUUCGUACGGAUAAUAAGCAAGCAAAUGGUGGGAAUAUAUCUUUCGGUGUGGGUUCAGAGAGGCCUUAGGAGGCACAUUCAGAAUUUGAGAGUAUCAACUGUAGGUGUAGGCGCGAUGGGUUACAUCGGUAACAAGGGAUCAAUAUCAGUCAGCAUGUCUAUAUAUCAGACACCCUUUUGUUUUGUAUGUUGCCACCUGACAUCUGGUGAAAAGGAUGGAAAUCUAACAAAGAGAAAUGCAGAUGUUGAAGAAAUCCUUCGAAGAACGGUAUUUAACCCAGUUCAUAGAGUCAGCAUGCCUAAGGGAAUACAUGACCAUGACCAUUUCAUAAAUUUCAGAAAGAUUAUAUGGUUUGGGGAUCUCAACUACCGAAUCAACCUAUCAUAUGAAAGAACACAUGAACUUAUCUCCAGAAAGGAAUGGGAUUUAUUGUUUGACAAUGAUCAGCUAAAGUGGGAACUGAUGAAAGGGCGUACAUUUGACGGUUGGAUCGAAGGGGUGAUUAGCUUCCCCCCAACAUAUAAAUACGAAUUUAAUUCAGAUAAGUAUGCGGGCGACGAGCCAAUAUCUGCGAGAAGAAGACCUGCAUGGUGCGACCGGAUUCUUUCAUACGGAAAGGGCAUCAGGUUGGAUUCUUACAGAAGGGUGGAGCUUAAUCUUUCGGAUCACCGCCCGGUGUCCGCUGUCUACAUGGCCGAGGUUGAAGUUUUAUGCCACAGAAAGUUUCAGAAGGCUGUAACAUUCACCAAUGUAGAGGUUGAGGAUCAUCUGUUAUUGGAGAGAUGA